This 493-nucleotide ribosomal RNA is filed under the name uncultured bacterium. Its description in RNAcentral is "bacterial SSU rRNA". It matches the Rfam family "Bacterial small subunit ribosomal RNA", at positions 29 to 520 of the family's 1533-position model. The record is from RNAcentral.
AACGAACGCUGAUGGCGUGCCUUAUACAUGCAAGUCGAGCGAGAAGUUGGUGCUUGCACCGACGGAGAGCGGCGAACGGGUGAGUAACACGUGAAUAACCUGCCCUUCAGUUGGGGAUAACCUUUCUAACGAGAGGCUAAUACCGAAUAUCGUAAUCAUUCGCAUGUUUGAUUACAAAAGGCUUCGGCUGUUGAAGGAUGGAUUCGCGUCUGAUUAGCUUGUUGGUGGGGUAACGGCCUACCAAGGCAAUGAUCAGUAGCCGGCCUGAGAGGGUGAUCGGCCACAUUGGGACUGAGAUACGGCCCAGACUCCUACGGGAGGCAGCAGUAGGGAAUUUUGCGCAAUGGAGGAAACUCUGACGCAGCAACGCCAUGUGUGGGAUGACGCAUUUAGGUGUGUAAACCACUGUCGGCAGGGAAUAAACUAUGGUUUUACCAUACUGAAGGUACCUGCAAUAGGAAGCACCGGCUAACUUCGUGCCAGCAGCCGACGG